RNAcentral lists this ribosomal RNA (918 nucleotides) under uncultured bacterium. RNAcentral describes it as "bacterial SSU rRNA". It matches the Rfam family "Bacterial small subunit ribosomal RNA", at positions 1 to 916 of the family's 1533-position model. The record is from RNAcentral.
CCCUUAGAGUUUGAUCCUGGCUCAGGAUGAACGCUAGCUACAGGCUUAACACAUGCAAGUCGAGGGGCAGCAUGUCGGUUGCUUGCAACCGAUGAUGGCGACCGGCGCACGGGUGAGUAACGCGUAUCCAACCUACCCUUGUCCAUCGGAUAACCCGUCGAAAGGCGGCCUAACACGAUAUGCGGUUCACAGCAGGCAUCUAACGUGAACGAAAUGUGAAGGAGAAGGAUGGGGAUGCGUCUGAUUAGCUUGUUGGCGGGGUAACGGCCCACCAAGGCUACGAUCAGUAGGGGUUCUGAGAGGAAGGUCCCCCACAUUGGAACUGAGACACGGUCCAAACUCCUACGGGAGGCAGCAGUGAGGAAUAUUGGUCAAUGGACGAGAGUCUGAACCAGCCAAGUAGCGUGCAGGAUGACGGCCCUAUGGGUUGUAAACUGCUUUUAUAGGGGGAUAAAGUGUGCCACGUGUGGCAUAUUGCAGGUACCCUAUGAAUAAGGACCGGCUAAUUCCGUGCCAGCAGCCGCGGUAAUACGGAAGGUCCAGGCGUUAUCCGGAUUUAUUGGGUUUAAAGGGAGCGUAGGCCGUUUGGUAAGCGUGUUGUGAAAUGUCGGGGCUCAACCUGGGCAUUGCAGCGCGAACUGCCAGACUUGAGUGCGCAGGAAGUAGGCGGAAUUCGUCGUGUAGCGGUGAAAUGCUUAGAUAUGACGAAGAACUCCGAUUGCGAAGGCAGCCUGCUGUAGCGCAACUGACGCUGAAGCUCGAAAGCGUGGGUAUCGAACAGGAUUAGAUACCCUGGUAGUCCACGCGGUAAACGAUGGAUGCUCGCUGUUUGCGUCUGACGUAAGCGGCCAAGCGAAAGCGUUAAGCAUCCCACCUGGGGAGUACGCCGGCAACGGUGAAACUCAAAUGAAUUGACGG